RNAcentral lists this ribosomal RNA (314 nucleotides) under uncultured bacterium. Its description in RNAcentral is "bacterial SSU rRNA". It matches the Rfam family "Bacterial small subunit ribosomal RNA", at positions 28 to 334 of the family's 1533-position model. The record is from RNAcentral.
GACGAACGCUGGCGGCGUGCCUAAUACAUGCAAGUCGAGCGGACUGGAGAGAGCUUGCUCUUGAAAGUCAGCGGCGGACGGGUGAGUAACACGUGGGUAACCUGCCUGGUAGACUGGGAUAACGCUUGGAAACGAGUGCUAAUACCGGAUAAUCUCCUGAAUCGCAUGGUUCAAGAGUAAAAGGAGCUUUCGCUUCACUGCCAGAUGGACCCGCGGCGCAUUAGCUAGUUGGUGAGGUAACGGCUCACCAAGGCGACGAUGCGUAGCCGACCUGAGAGGGUGACCGGCCACACUGGGACUGAGACACGGCCCAG